UUUCCUGGGAUGUUCGUCAGCUCACUCAUUUUGAUCCUACAUUAUUCGAACGGGACUCCUAUAUUUUCACUAUGAUGUCAGGCCUCCGUUUGCAGUGGAAGGCAGAUUAGUGUUUGCGGUAACCCACCUAGCACAGCUAGGAGUCGAAACUGUGGGCAACGGCAUUUUGGGAAU
This 174-nucleotide non-coding RNA is filed under the name uncultured Lachnospira sp. Its description in RNAcentral is "6S / SsrS RNA". It matches the Rfam family "6S / SsrS RNA". Rfam says of the family: E. coli 6S RNA was the first non coding RNA to be sequenced, but its function was unknown until recently. It consists of 184 nucleotides that fold into an extended hairpin structure with a large single-stranded internal bulge. The record is from RNAcentral. Lineage: Bacteria; Bacillati; Bacillota; Clostridia; Lachnospirales; Lachnospiraceae.